AUCCCAGAUAAGCGAUGUCGCUAGUGCUUAUCUGAUUCAUAGGAGGUCGACAUCAAUCCAUGGCAGUUUCGCUGAUAGCAUCUUCUUUUUUUUUUCCUCUAGUGAAGAUGUUUCAUUAGUAGCUCGCCAUACACAC
This is a small nucleolar RNA of Zingiber officinale, 136 nucleotides long. Lineage: Eukaryota; Viridiplantae; Streptophyta; Magnoliopsida; Zingiberales; Zingiberaceae. The record is from RefSeq and is a predicted model, not a curated record.